Molecule: ribosomal RNA, 508 nt
Filed under: uncultured bacterium
Lineage: Bacteria
Description: partial 16S ribosomal RNA
Rfam family: Bacterial small subunit ribosomal RNA
Source: RNAcentral
GACGAACGCUGGCGGCGCGCUUAACACAUGCAAGUCGAACGGCAGCGGGGGAGAAGCUUGCUUUUCCUGCCGGCGAGUGGCGAACGGGUGAGUAAUACAUCGGAACGUGCCCUGUAGUGGGGGAUAACUAGUCGAAAGGUUAGCUAAUACCGCAUACGACCUGAGGGUGAAAGUGGGGGACCGCAAGGCCUCAUGCUAUAGGAGCGGCCGAUGUCUGAUUAGCUAGUUGGUGGGGUAAAGGCCUACCAAGGCGACGAUCAGUAGCUGGUCUGAGAGGACGAUCAGCCACACUGGGACUGAGACACGGCCCAGACUCCUACGGGAGGCAGCAGUGGGGAAUUUUGGACAAUGGGCGAAAGCCUGAUCCAGCAAUGCCGCGUGUGUGAAGAAGGCCUUCGGGUUGUAAAGCACUUUUGUCCGGAAAGAAAUGGCUCUGGUUAAUACCUGGGGUCGAUGACGGUACCGGAAGAAUAAGGACCGGCUAACUACGUGCCAGCCGCCGCAGUAA